This 670-nucleotide ribosomal RNA is filed under the name uncultured Bacteroidota bacterium. RNAcentral describes it as "SSU rRNA". It matches the Rfam family "Bacterial small subunit ribosomal RNA", at positions 245 to 915 of the family's 1533-position model. Lineage: Bacteria; Pseudomonadati; Bacteroidota. The record is from RNAcentral.
CUAGUUGGUGAGGUAACGGCUCACCAAGGCAACGAUCAGUAGCUGGUCUGAGAGGAUGAUCAGCCACACGGGCACUGAGACACGGGCCCGACUCCUACGGGAGGCAGCAGUAGGGAAUAUUGGACAAUGGGCGCAAGCCUGAUCCAGCCAUCCCGCGUGAAGGAUUAAGGCCCUAUGGGUUGUAAACUUCUUUUCUCUGGGAAUAAAAAGUGGGAUUCAUCCCGCCUUGAAGGUACCAGAGGAAUAAGCACCGGCUAACUCCGUGCCAGCAGCCGCGGUAAUACGGAGGGUGCAAGCGUUAUCCGGAUUCACUGGGUUUAAAGGGUGCGUAGGGGGCUUUGUAAGUCAGUGGUGAAAGCCCGGAGCUCAACUCCGGAACUGCCAUUGAUACUGCUUAGCUUGAAUCACGUCGAGGUGGAUGGAAUAUUACAUGUAGCGGUGAAAUGCUUAGAUAUGUAAUAGAACACCGAUUGCGAAGGCAGUUCACUAGGCGUGUAUUGACACUGAGGCACGAAAGCGUGGGGAUCAAACAGGAUUAGAUACCCUGGUAGUCCACGCCCUAAACGAUGUAAACUCGACAUUAGCGAUAUACAGUUAGUGUCCAAGCGAAAGCGUUAAGUUUACCACCUGGGAAGUACGACCGCAAGGUUGAAACUCAAAGGAAUUGACG